AUUGAACGCUGGCGGCAUGCCUUACACAUGCAAGUCGAACGGCAGCACGAUCUAGCUUGCUAGAUUGAUGGCGAGUGGCGCACGGGUGAGUAAUACAUCUGAACGUGCCCUGUUGUGGGGGAUAACUAGUCGAAAGUCUAGCUAAUACCGCAUACGACCUGAGGGUGAAAGUGGGGGACCGCAAGGCCUCAUGCUAUAGGAGCGGCCGAUGUCUGAUUAGCUAGUUGGUGAGGUAAAGGCUCACCAAGGCGACGAUCAGUAGCUGGUCUGAGAGGACGAUCAGCCACACUGGAACUGAGACACGGCCCAGACUCCUACGGGAGGCAGCAGUGGGGAAUAUUGGACAAUGGGCGAAAGCCUGAUCCAGCAAUGCCGCGUGUGUGAAGAAGGCCUUCGGGUUGUAAAGCACUUUUGUCCGGAAAGAAAUGGACCUGGUUAAUACCUGGGGUCGAUGACGGUACCGGAAGAAUAAGGACCGGCUAACUACGUG
RNAcentral lists this ribosomal RNA (490 nucleotides) under uncultured bacterium. Its description in RNAcentral is "partial 16S ribosomal RNA". It matches the Rfam family "Bacterial small subunit ribosomal RNA", at positions 30 to 507 of the family's 1533-position model. The record is from RNAcentral.